CUCUUCCGUAGGGGGAACCUGCGGAGGGAUCAUUACACAAUAUGUAAGGCGGGCUGGACACCCUCCAGCCGGGCACUGCUUCACGGCGUGCGCGGCUGGAGCCGGCCCUGCUGAAUUAUUCACCCGUGUCUUUUGCGUACUUCUUGUUUCCUGGGUGGGCUCGCCCGCCAUCAGGACCAACCAUAAACCUUUUUGUAAUAGCAAUCAGCGUCAGUAACAACGUAAUUAAUUACAACUUUCAACAACGGAUCUCUUGGUUCUGGCAUCGAUGAAGAACGCAGCGAAAUGCGAUACGUAGUGUGAAUUGCAGAAUUCAGUGAAUCAUCGAAUCUUUGAACGCACAUUGCGCCCUUUGGUAUUCCAAAGGGCAUGCCUGUUCGAGCGUCAUUUGUACCCUCAAGCUUUGCUUGGUGUUGGGCGUCUUUUGUCUCCAGCUCGCUGGAGACUCGCCUUAAAGUCAUUGGCAGCCGGCCUACUGGUUUCGGAGCGCAGCACAAGUCGCGCUCUUGCCCAGCCAAGGUCAGCGUCCAGCAAGCCUUUUUUCAACCUUUGACCUCGGAUCAGGUAGGGAUACCCGCUGAACUUAAGCAUAUCAAAGGCCGGAGGAA
RNAcentral lists this ribosomal RNA (608 nucleotides) under Alternaria infectoria. Its description in RNAcentral is "eukaryotic LSU rRNA". The stretch from base 234 to 387 matches the Rfam family "5.8S ribosomal RNA". The record is from RNAcentral. Lineage: Eukaryota; Fungi; Ascomycota; Dothideomycetes; Pleosporales; Pleosporaceae.